Molecule: ribosomal RNA, 301 nt
Filed under: uncultured bacterium
Lineage: Bacteria
Description: partial 16S ribosomal RNA
Rfam family: Bacterial small subunit ribosomal RNA
Source: RNAcentral
CAGUAGCCGCGGGAAUACGAAGGGGGCUAGCGUUGUUCGGAUUUACUGGGCGUAAAGCGCACGUAGGCGGAUCGAUCAGUCAGGGGUGAAAUCCCAGAGCUCAACUCUGGAACUGCCUUUGAUACUGUCGAUCUGGAGUAUGGAAGAGGUGAGUGGAAUUCCGAGUGUAGAGGUGAAAUUCGUAGAUAUUCGGAGGAACACCAGUGGCGAAGGCGGCUCACUGGUCUGUAACUGACGCUGAGGAGCGAAAGCGUGGGGAGCGAACAGGAUUAGAGACCCCUGUAGUCCCUGUCUCUUAUAC